Molecule: ribosomal RNA, 653 nt
Filed under: bacterium LB-179
Lineage: Bacteria
Description: bacterial SSU rRNA
Rfam family: Bacterial small subunit ribosomal RNA
Source: RNAcentral
UAUACCCUGGUAGUCCACGCUGUAAACGAUGUCGACUUGGAGGUUGUUCCCUUGAGGAGUGGCUUCCGGAGCUAACGCGUUAAGUCGACCGCCUGGGGAGUACGGCCGCAAGGUUAAAACUCAAAUGAAUUGACGGGGGCCCGCACAAGCGGUGGAGCAUGUGGUUUAAUUCGAUGCAACGCGAAGAACCUUACCUACUCUUGACAUCCAGAGAACUUAGCAGAGAUGCUUUGGUGCCUUCGGGAACUCUGAGACAGGUGCUGCAUGGCUGUCGUCAGCUCGUGUUGUGAAAUGUUGGGUUAAGUCCCGCAACGAGCGCAACCCUUAUCCUUUGUUGCCAGCGAUUCGGUCGGGAACUCAAAGGAGACUGCCAGUGAUAAACUGGAGGAAGGUGGGGAUGACGUCAAGUCAUCAUGGCCCUUACGAGUAGGGCUACACACGUGCUACAAUGGCAUAUACAAAGAGAAGCGACCUCGCGAGAGCAAGCGGACCUCAUAAAGUAUGUCGUAGUCCGGAUUGGAGUCUGCAACUCGACUCCAUGAAGUCGGAAUCGCUAGUAAUCGUAGAUCAGAAUGCUACGGUGAAUACGUUCCCGGGCCUUGUACACACCGCCCGUCACACCAUGGGAGUGGGUUGCAAAAGAAGUAGGUAGC